RNAcentral lists this ribosomal RNA (300 nucleotides) under uncultured bacterium. Its description in RNAcentral is "bacterial SSU rRNA". It matches the Rfam family "Bacterial small subunit ribosomal RNA", at positions 217 to 507 of the family's 1533-position model. The record is from RNAcentral.
GCGAUUGGAGCGGCCGAUGUCAGAUUAGGUAGUUGGUGGGGUAAAGGGCCCACCAAGCCAACGAUCUGUAGCUGGUCUGAGAGGACGACCAGCCACACUGGGACUGAGACACGGCCCAGACUCCCUACGGGAGGCAGCAGUGGGGAAUUUUGGACAAUGGGCGCAAGCCUGAUCCAGCAAUGCCGCGUGCAGGAAGAAGGCCUUCGGGUUGUAAACUGCUUUUGUACGGAACGAAACGGUCUGGGUUAAUACCCUGGGCUAAUGACGGUACCGUAAGAAUAAGCACCGGCUAACUACGUG